RNAcentral lists this non-coding RNA (161 nucleotides) under Rhodobacterales bacterium CG15_BIG_FIL_POST_REV_8_21_14_020_59_13. RNAcentral's name for it is "6S RNA". It matches the Rfam family "6S / SsrS RNA". Rfam says of the family: E. coli 6S RNA was the first non coding RNA to be sequenced, but its function was unknown until recently. It consists of 184 nucleotides that fold into an extended hairpin structure with a large single-stranded internal bulge. The record is from RNAcentral. Lineage: Bacteria; Pseudomonadati; Pseudomonadota; Alphaproteobacteria; Rhodobacterales.
CGGUCCCUGCGGCACUCGUCAGGACUUUAAUUCCCCGCGGCCGUACAUCUCGUCGAGGGAGCUGCCUCUGAUAGGGAUCGUGGUCCCUGAUAAGCGGCGCCCACCUGCAUCUGUGGGCUCGAAGGGAAUUUACAAAGUCCAACGGUGACUGUGGGGCCGCU